GUGGAAACCGAAAAGCACUCAAUUUCUCGCUAUAUAUAUGAAUAUUUGCGUUUCUAUUGUGUGUAAACGGAUUAAAUUAGUUAUAAAUGGUUAUAUUUCAUGCAUAUUUAUACUACCUUGGGUUUAUUAUGAGGUAUUAAGCCCCAAAAUUGGAUAAAUAUCGGCAAUAUACCGACCGAAAAGCACUUCAUGUGAAGACCGAAAAGCACUCAAUUUCUCGCUAUAUAUAUGAAUAUUUGCGUUUCUAUUGUGUGUAAACGGUUUAAAUUAGUUAUAAAUGGUUAUAUUUCAUGCAUAUUUAUACUACCUUGUGUUUAUUAUGAGGUAUAAAUGCCCGAAAUUUUAUAAAUAUCGGCAAUAUACCGACCGAAAAGCACUUCAUGUGAAGACCGAAAAGCACUCAAUUUCUCGCUAUAUAUAUAUAUAAUAUUUGCGUUCCUAUUGUGUGUAAACGGUUUAAAUUAGUUAUAAAUGGUUAUAUUGCAUG
This is a long non-coding RNA of Dreissena polymorpha, 487 nucleotides long. RefSeq lists it as uncharacterized. NCBI's taxonomy places the organism in Eukaryota, Metazoa, Mollusca, Bivalvia, Myida, Dreissenidae. The transcript is spliced from 3 exons. The record is from RefSeq and is a predicted model, not a curated record.